AUGAAGCAUUCAUGGAGCAAGCAUUUCACGGUCAUACACUCAUCAACUCCACAUACAAGAGUACCACCCAUUAAUAGCCUCUGUUCCCCGGUGAUGAUGACCAAGUACAUGAGGAACAAUGUGCAAGGACUUGUGCUACUUUCUUUUCUUCUUGUGGUGUGUUUGACUUGUCUUGGAGGCACAUAUGGCAAAAUCAUAAAUGACAAGCGGAGCAACAUGAUGAGGAAAGUAAGCCAUGUAACGAGACCCCCUUGUUAUAAAGAUGGACACCAACUCCCAGGACGGGAAUUUUGCUGUAAAAUAGAUAACUUGUGCUGGCCAAAUCUCGGAGAAUGCUUCAUCAACUGUCCAUGCAAGAUUAAUUGCACACCAGCAGCAGCAGCAACGCAAUAG
Molecule: ribosomal RNA, 393 nt
Filed under: Triticum aestivum (bread wheat)
Lineage: Eukaryota; Viridiplantae; Streptophyta; Magnoliopsida; Poales; Poaceae
Description: partial small subunit ribosomal RNA
Source: RNAcentral